Molecule: microRNA precursor, 102 nt
Filed under: Microtus ochrogaster (prairie vole)
Lineage: Eukaryota; Metazoa; Chordata; Mammalia; Rodentia; Cricetidae
Description: miRNA (ENSMOCG00000009118.1)
Source: RNAcentral
AGAAAUGCCUCCAUGAGAUCCAGCUGUAAGGCAUUUUCUCAUUUAGUUACAAAUGGAAGAAUUACCACCAUGGUGGGUGGUGCAAUCUCUGGGCUAGUGAUC